RNAcentral lists this ribosomal RNA (336 nucleotides) under Stutzerimonas nitrititolerans. RNAcentral describes it as "bacterial SSU rRNA". It matches the Rfam family "Bacterial small subunit ribosomal RNA", at positions 1 to 339 of the family's 1533-position model. Lineage: Bacteria; Pseudomonadati; Pseudomonadota; Gammaproteobacteria; Pseudomonadales; Pseudomonadaceae. The record is from RNAcentral.
GAACUGAAGAGUUUGAUCAUGGCUCAGAUUGAACGCUGGCGGCAGGCCUAACACAUGCAAGUCGAGCGGAUGAAGGGAGCUUGCUCCCUGAUUCAGCGGCGGACGGGUGAGUAAUGCCUAGGAAUCUGCCUGGUAGUGGGGGACAACGUCUCGAAAGGGACGCUAAUACCGCAUACGUCCUACGGGAGAAAGCAGGGGACCUUCGGGCCUUGCGCUAUCAGAUGAGCCUAGGUCGGAUUAGCUAGUUGGUGAGGUAAUGGCUCACCAAGGCUGCGAUCCGUAACUGGUCUGAGAGGAUGAUCAGUCACACUGGAACUGAGACACGGUCCAGACUCC